GCCGCGGUAGUAUAGCCCGGUCAAGUAUGCGGGCCUCUCGUGCGGGACACCCGGGUUCAAAUCCCGGCCGCGGCACCA
RNAcentral lists this transfer RNA (78 nucleotides) under Ignisphaera aggregans. Its description in RNAcentral is "tRNA-Glu". It matches the Rfam family "tRNA". Rfam says of the family: Transfer RNA (tRNA) molecules are approximately 80 nucleotides in length. The record is from RNAcentral. Lineage: Archaea; Thermoproteati; Thermoproteota; Thermoprotei; Desulfurococcales; Desulfurococcaceae.